UGAGGAAUAUUGGUCAAUGGACGAGAGUCUGAACCAGCCAAGUAGCGUGAAGGAUGACUGCCCUAUGGGUUGUAAACUUCUUUUAUACGGGAAUAAAGUGCAGUAUGUAUACUGUUUUGUAUGUACCGUAUGAAUAAGGAUCGGCUAACUCCGUGCCAGCAGCCGCGGUAAUACGGAGGAUCCGAGCGUUAUCCGGAUUUAUUGGGUUUAAAGGGAGCGUAGGCGGAUGCUUAAGUCAGUUGUGAAAGUUUGCGGCUCAACCGUAAAAUUGCAGUUGAUACUGGGUGUCUUGAGUACAGUAGAGGUAGGCGGAAUUCGUGGUGUAGCGGUGAAAUGCUUAGAUAUCACGAAGAACUCCGAUUGCGAAGGCAGCCUACCGGCUCCAGACUGACGCUGAGGCACGAAAGCGUGGGGUAUCGAACAGGAUUAGGAUACC
Molecule: ribosomal RNA, 436 nt
Filed under: uncultured bacterium
Lineage: Bacteria
Description: bacterial SSU rRNA
Rfam family: Bacterial small subunit ribosomal RNA
Source: RNAcentral